RNAcentral lists this ribosomal RNA (343 nucleotides) under uncultured bacterium. RNAcentral describes it as "bacterial SSU rRNA". It matches the Rfam family "Bacterial small subunit ribosomal RNA", at positions 917 to 1268 of the family's 1533-position model. The record is from RNAcentral.
GGGCCCGCACAAGUGGUGGAGCAUGUGGUUUAAUUCGAUGCAACGCGAAGAACCUUACCAACCCUUGAAAUCUAGCGAAGUUCACAGAGAUGAGAAUGUGCCUUCGGGAACGCUAUGACAGGUGUUGCAUGGCUGUCGUCAGCUCGUGUCGUGAGAUGUAUGGUUAAGUCCUUUAACGAGCGCAACCCUUGUACUUAGUUGACUUUGGUGACUCUAAGUAGACUGCCCACUAGGAUAGUGGAGAAAGGUAAGGAUGACGUCAAGUCCUCAUGGCCCUUAUGAACUGGGCUACACACGUGUUACAAUGGUAAGAACAAUGAGAAGCGAUCUUGUAAAAGUGAGC